RNAcentral lists this ribosomal RNA (446 nucleotides) under uncultured bacterium. RNAcentral describes it as "partial 16S ribosomal RNA". It matches the Rfam family "Bacterial small subunit ribosomal RNA", at positions 338 to 795 of the family's 1533-position model. The record is from RNAcentral.
CCUACGGGUGGCUGCAGUCGAGAAUCAUUCACAAUGGGGGAAACCCUGAUGGUGCGACGCCGCGUGGGGGAAUGAAGGUCUUCGGAUUGUACACCCCUGUCAUGUGGGAGCAAAUUAAAAAGAUCGUACCACCAGAGGAAGAGCCGGCUAACUCUGUGCCAGCAGCCGCGGUAAUACAGGGGGUGCAAGCGUUGUCCGGAAUCAUUGGGCGUAAAGAGUUCGUAGGCGGCACGUAAAGUCUGGUGUUAAAGGCAGAGGGUCAACUUCUGUACGGCACUGGAUACUUGCGAGCUAGAAUGCGGUAGAGGUAAAGGGAAUUCCUGGUGUAGCGGUGAAAUGCUUAGAUAUCAGGAGGAACAUCGGUGGCGUAAGCGCUUUACUGGGCCGUAAUUGACGCUGAGGAACGAAAGCCAGGGUAGCAAAUGGGAUUAGAUACCCUUGUAGUC